This 445-nucleotide ribosomal RNA is filed under the name uncultured bacterium. RNAcentral describes it as "partial 16S ribosomal RNA". It matches the Rfam family "Bacterial small subunit ribosomal RNA", at positions 354 to 796 of the family's 1533-position model. The record is from RNAcentral.
GUGAGGAAUAUUGGACAAUGGGCGCAAGCCUGAUCCAGCCAUGCCGCGUGCAGGAAGACGCAUCUAUGGUGUGUAAACUGCUUUUGUACGGGAAGAAACACUCCCUCGUGAGGGAGCUUGACGGUACCGUAAGAAUAAGGAUCGGCUAACUCCGUGCCAGCAGCCGCGGUAAUACGGAGGAUCCAAGCGUUAUCCGGAAUCAUUGGGUUUAAAGGGUCCGUAGGCGGUUUAAUAAGUCAGUGGUGAAAGCCCAUCGCUCAACGAUGGAACGGCCAUUGAUACUGUUAGACUUGAAUUACAAGGAAGUAACUAGAAUAUGUAGUGUAGCGGUGAAAUGCUUAGAUAUUACAUGGAAUACCAAUUGCGAAGGCAGGUUACUACUUGUGGAUUGACGCUGAUGGACGAAAGCGUGGGGAGCAAACAGGAUUAGAAACCCGUGUAGUCC